CUCUUAAAGAGUUGAUGCGAAUGACUUCCAUGUUCCAUCAGCUCAAAUCAAGGCCACCGAAAGGUUUGAGGCAAUAUAUCCCACUCUGAAAGAACUUGCACUUUCUGGUGUCUCUGGAAGUAAAGCAAUGAAGCAAGUUUCACAGCAAAGAUUGAACUUUGCAGUCCAAGCAGCAAGUGAAAGCAUCCCAGAAUUAUCCAAAGAAGUUACUGGAAUUUUCAUCUGGUGCUUGACUAAAAACCCUGAUUGUUACAAGUAAUGG
This is a long non-coding RNA of Telopea speciosissima, 262 nucleotides long. RefSeq lists it as uncharacterized. The record is from RefSeq and is a predicted model, not a curated record. Lineage: Eukaryota; Viridiplantae; Streptophyta; Magnoliopsida; Proteales; Proteaceae. The transcript has 3 exons.